AAAAAAAAAAAAAAAGAGAAGGCAAAAAGAAAUAUAAGAAGAUUACUUAAUAGAGAAAGCACCUCCAUGUCCAAUCUUGGCAAGUGGACACGAUGGAAACAGUCUCAUCCAAACAAUCUUAGCUCAAAAUCAAACACAUCUAGUUAUUAAAACUAAAUGCUAGCCCUACUACGGGUCCUGCCCCACUGGCGUCUACGAGCCCUCCUCUUUCUCCCAUCCUUUUUUGCCUUAACCUUUUCUUUUAAAUCCCUCUCCCCUCGUCGUUUAUAACUUUUGAAACUUGUCUGUCUAUCUGCAGCCAUAUUUCUCACCUUUUCUGUGAUCUCUACUGCAAACUGCCUGUUAUACAAUUUCCUUAAACCACGCAUGAGCUUAGCAAAAGUUUCUGGCUUUGGCAUUACACCUGCAUCCAUCAUAUCCAAACAAUAUGAACAAGCCUCUUUCACAUGUCCAUUUGAAAACAGUGCAUGAAUCCAAAUUGUCCAAGCAUCCGAAUUAAGUUCACAUCCUUUGGUAACAAUGCAACUCCAGACAUCUUUAGCCAUUUCAAGCUUCUCACCUCUCAGCAGAGCAUUCAACAACUCCUUCAAGAUUCCAUAUUGAGGAGUAUAUAAAAGGCCUCUCCCAACCAUUUCUUUAAAAUACUCACAAGCCUCAACCAAACAACCCUGCCCAAGAAGCCCAUGAGUCAAAAUAAGAAAAGAGUCAAUCCCUGGACUAAAGCCAUUUGCUUCCAUUUCAUUCCAAACUCGAAUGCCAUCAUUGACUUCCCCCAGCUUGCAGGCCAACCUAAUCACUACAUUGAAAAUGCUGAGAUCAGGAACACAGCCUACCUUCUGCAUUUUCCCCUUCAAUUCCAUACACUCUUCCAACUCUUCUUUCUUUUCAUGGGCCAACAUUAUGUGCAAGUAAAUCAGUUGAUUAGGCAUACACCCUUUCUCUAUCAUAUGAUCCAAAAUCUGAUAUGCCCUAUUAAUUUUACCCCACUUGCAAAACCCACUUAUUAAUGCAGCAUAAGUCACAAUAUCAGCCUCACAACCAUUCCUUUCCAUCUCAACAAAAACUCUCAUUGCCUCAUCCAUCUUCUCCUGCGCACUGAGUGCCUGAAUCAAAAUAGUAUAGGAAUUUGCAUUAGGCUCACACCCCUUCCUCCUCAUCUCCUUCAACAAAUCAAAAGCAUCAGCCAUUUUUCCUGCCAUGGUAUAGCCAAUUAAAAGAUUGUUAUAAACCACAAUAUCCGGUUCAAACCCAGCUUCACGCAUUUGUACCAAAACAUGUUUAGCCUCCAUUAACUUUCCUUCUCUACACCAACCAUAUAACAAAGAAGUAAAGUGAUUCAAGCUUGGCCUAAACCUCACCCUCAUGUCCUCAAAAAGCGAAGCAGCCUGCUUUACACUACCUUUCUUACACAAUGAAUCCAAUAAACAACCAAACACAUACUCAUCAGGUUCACAUCCAUACUUUGGCAUCUCAUCUAAUACUUCAAUUGCUUUCUUAACCAAUCUGGCAGAAGCAAACCUUCGGAUCAAAACAACAAACAAUUCACUCGUUAUCAAAACACUAUUAUCUUUCCUCAUUUCCUCUAGUAAGGCCCAAACUGCACCAAAUUGUCUCAUUUUACUGAAAAUCUUGACCAUAGCCUUAUAAUUUUCAUAACUAUGUCUAUAGCCGGGCUGCUUUGAUGCCCACACAAAGAACCUAUACCCCAAAUUCCCUGCAUCACCGCAGCGAUUUAAUACCCGUUCGGUUAAGCCUGCACGCACUACAACACCCGAUUUUUGCAAGGCAAGCUCUAAUUUUGGAACUCUAGAAUGAAAAUUUCUUAGGAUUCUGUAUACCUUUUCGACAUCUCUCGCAAAUUCAUCAACGUUGUUGUCGCUGCUGCUGUUGUCCCCGUCUUUAAAGCUCCCUUCUUGAGUUUUGAGACAAACAAUACCAAAACCAUUUCUUGGAUUGUUAGGUACAGAAUUUUCUUUGAUGGGUUCGUGAGCUUUGUGGCAUAAUUGUCUGUGGAUGAGAUAUAGCGGGGAACUUGUUGGAUUAGAGGGAAGUGAGAGACGGCACCAGUGUUUGUUCAGAAAAGAGUUCCCUUUCAAGGAGAGUCUCUGCAUUUCUCUUCUGGAGAGUGGGAGCAUUUCGUUAGCGUUUCAUUUUCCAGGGAGGAAUCUCAAGGGAAAGCUAAAAACGAUGUCGUUAGACUUUAG
This 2204-nucleotide unclassified non-coding RNA is filed under the name Hevea brasiliensis (rubber tree). Lineage: Eukaryota; Viridiplantae; Streptophyta; Magnoliopsida; Malpighiales; Euphorbiaceae. The record is from RNAcentral.